This 483-nucleotide ribosomal RNA is filed under the name uncultured bacterium. Its description in RNAcentral is "partial 16S ribosomal RNA". It matches the Rfam family "Bacterial small subunit ribosomal RNA", at positions 28 to 507 of the family's 1533-position model. The record is from RNAcentral.
GACGAACGCUGGCGGCGUGCUUAACACAUGCAAGUCGAACGCUGAAGCUCAGCUUUUGUUGGGUGGAUGAGUGGCGAACGGGUGAGUAACACGUGAGUAACCUGCCCCCUUCUUUGGGAUAACGCCCGGAAACGGGUGCUAAUACUGGAUAUUCACUGGUCUUCGCAUGGGGGUUGGUGGAAAGGGUUUUUCUGGUGGGGGAUGGGCUCGCGGCCUAUCAGCUUGUUGGUGGGGUGAUGGCCUACCAAGGCUUUGACGGGUAGCCGGCCUGAGAGGGUGACCGGUCACAUUGGGACGGAGAUACGGCCCAGACUACGACGGGAGGCAGCAGUGGGGAAUAUUGCACAAUGGGCGCAAGCCUGAUGCAGCGACGCCGCGUGAGGGAUGGAGGCCUCCGGGUUGUGAACCUCUUUCGCUCAUGGUCAAGCCGCAACAAUGGUUGUGGUGAGGGUAGUGGGUAAAGAAGCGCCGGCUAACUACGUG